Molecule: ribosomal RNA, 427 nt
Filed under: uncultured bacterium
Lineage: Bacteria
Description: bacterial SSU rRNA
Rfam family: Bacterial small subunit ribosomal RNA
Source: RNAcentral
UGGGGAAUAUUGGACAAUGGGCGCAAGCCUGAUCCAGCCAUGCCGCGUGGGUGAAGAAGGCCUUCGGGUUGUAAAGUACUUUCAGCGAGGAGGAAGGCGUUAAGGUUAAUAACCUUGGCGAUUGACGUUACUCGCAGAAGAAGCACCGGCUAACUCCGUGCCAGCAGCCGCGGUAAUACGGAGGGUGCAAGCGUUAAUCGGAAUUACUGGGCGUAAAGCGCACGCAGGCGGUUUGUCAAGACGGAUGUGAAAUCCCCGGGCUCAACCUGGGAACUGCAUUCGAAACUGGCGAGCUAGAGUCUUGUAGAGGGGGGUAGAAUUCCAGGUGUAGCGGUGAAAUGCGUAGAGAUCUGGAGGAAUACCGGUGGCGAAGGCGGCCCCCUGGACAAAGACUGACGCUCAGGUGCGAAAGCGUGGGGAGCAAACA